RNAcentral lists this ribosomal RNA (688 nucleotides) under Malus melliana. Its description in RNAcentral is "eukaryotic LSU rRNA". The stretch from base 280 to 435 matches the Rfam family "5.8S ribosomal RNA". The record is from RNAcentral. Lineage: Eukaryota; Viridiplantae; Streptophyta; Magnoliopsida; Rosales; Rosaceae.
AUUUAGAGGAAGGAGAAGUCGUAACAAGGUUUCCGUAGGUGAACCUGCGGAAGGAUCAUUGUCGAACCUGCGCAGCAGAACGACCCGAGAACCCGUUUCAACGUCGGGGGUCGGCGGGCCUUCGGGCUCGGCGUCCCCUUUGUCCCGGGAGCCCGCUCCCGGGCGUACAAACGAACACCGGCGCGUAUUGCGCCAAGGAACCUGAACGAAAGAGCGCGCUCCCGUCGCCCCGGAAACGGUGCGCGCGCGGGUGCGACGUCGUCUUCGAUACGUCAAAACGACUCUCGGCAACGGAUAUCUCGGCUCUCGCAUCGAUGAAGAACGUAGCGAAAUGCGAUACUUGGUGUGAAUUGCAGAAUCCCGUGAACCAUCGAGUCUUUGAACGCAAGUUGCGCCCGAAGCCAUCAGGCCGAGGGCACGCCUGCCUGGGCGUCACGCGCCGUUGCCCACCCCGCAACUCCCUAGGGAGCGUCGGGGGGCGGACGAUGGCCUCCCGUGCGUCACCCCGCGCGGUUGGCACAAAUGCCGGGUCCUCGGCGACGAACGCCACGACAAUCGGUGGUUGCGGAACCUCGGUUGCCCGUUGUGCGCCUUCGUCGCGCUCCGAGCGGCCCGCGACGCUCGUUGCUCCGCUUCGGCGGAGCUUUCAACGCGACCCCAGGUCAGGCGGGGUUACCCGCUGAAUUUA